RNAcentral lists this ribosomal RNA (1209 nucleotides) under Flavobacterium frigidimaris. RNAcentral describes it as "bacterial SSU rRNA". It matches the Rfam family "Bacterial small subunit ribosomal RNA", at positions 91 to 1307 of the family's 1533-position model. The record is from RNAcentral. Lineage: Bacteria; Pseudomonadati; Bacteroidota; Flavobacteriia; Flavobacteriales; Flavobacteriaceae.
GAGACCGGCGCACGGGUGCGUAACGCGUAUGCAAUCUACCUUUUACAGAGGGAUAGCCCAGAGAAAUUUGGAUUAAUACCUCAUAGUAUAUAGACUCGGCAUCGAGAUUAUAUUAAAGUCACAACGGUAAAAGAUGAGCAUGCGUCCCAUUAGCUAGUUGGUAAGGUAACGGCUUACCAAGGCUACGAUGGGUAGGGGUCCUGAGAGGGAGAUCCCCCACACUGGUACUGAGACACGGACCAGACUCCUACGGGAGGCAGCAGUGAGGAAUAUUGGACAAUGGGCGCAAGCCUGAUCCAGCCAUGCCGCGUGCAGGAUGACGGUCCUAUGGAUUGUAAACUGCUUUUAUACGAGAAGAAACACUACUUCGUGAAGUAGCUUGACGGUAUCGUAAGAAUAAGGAUCGGCUAACUCCGUGCCAGCAGCCGCGGUAAUACGGAGGAUCCAAGCGUUAUCCGGAAUCAUUGGGUUUAAAGGGUCCGUAGGCGGUUUAAUAAGUCAGUGGUGAAAGCCCAUCGCUCAACGGUGGAACGGCCAUUGAUACUGUUAGACUUGAAUUAUUAGGAAGUAACUAGAAUAUGUAGUGUAGCGGUGAAAUGCUUAGAGAUUACAUGGAAUACCAAUUGCGAAGGCAGGUUACUACUAAUUGAUUGACGCUGAUGGACGAAAGCGUGGGUAGCGAACAGGAUUAGAUACCCUGGUAGUCCACGCCGUAAACGAUGGAUACUAGCUGUUGGGAGCAAUCUCAGUGGCUAAGCGAAAGUGAUAAGUAUCCCACCUGGGGAGUACGUUCGCAAGAAUGAAACUCAAAGGAAUUGACGGGGGCCCGCACAAGCGGUGGAGCAUGUGGUUUAAUUCGAUGAUACGCGAGGAACCUUACCAAGGCUUAAAUGUAGAUUGACCGGUUUGGAAACAGAUCUUUCGCAAGACAAUUUACAAGGUGCUGCAUGGUUGUCGUCAGCUCGUGCCGUGAGGUGUCAGGUUAAGUCCUAUAACGAGCGCAACCCCUGUUGUUAGUUGCCAGCGAGUCAUGUCGGGAACUCUAACAAGACUGCCAGUGCAAACUGUGAGGAAGGUGGGGAUGACGUCAAAUCAUCACGGCCCUUACGCCUUGGGCUACACACGUGCUACAAUGGCCGGUACAGAGAGCAGCCACUGGGCGACCAGGAGCGAAUCUAUAAAACCGGUCACAGUUCGGAUCGGAGUCUG